UGCUCUCUUACCCUUCCUAG
This 20-nucleotide microRNA is filed under the name Mus musculus (house mouse). Its description in RNAcentral is "mmu-miR-6973b-3p". The record is from miRBase by way of RNAcentral. Lineage: Eukaryota; Metazoa; Chordata; Mammalia; Rodentia; Muridae.